This 360-nucleotide ribosomal RNA is filed under the name Triticum aestivum (bread wheat). RNAcentral describes it as "partial small subunit ribosomal RNA". Lineage: Eukaryota; Viridiplantae; Streptophyta; Magnoliopsida; Poales; Poaceae. The record is from RNAcentral.
AUGAUCGGUCUUACCCCGCUGCCUUCCUCUUCACCAGAGCCAAAUACUGGUGAUGAGCUCAACAGCAGCAUCAUUGUUGGUAAAUACCAUCAGCACUUACAGUCUACUCCACCUACAAAGAGCUAUGGCAAGGAAAUGGCAAACCAGAAGGAUGAGUUAGAUGAAAAGUUUCUAGCUGAUUACCGAGCGAUGCCAACGCUUGCAAAGGAAGUGACUUUAGCUGCAACUAGCAAGAUGUUGACUAAUGCACCCUCUGUCGCUGCUCCUGCCAAAGCUUGCUUCUCUUUUGGUAGCAAGAGAAGUCUCAAGGUCGAAUUUUGGGGCCGGGAAGCACUAGGUUCUCUGGUGGCCUACCACUAA